This 253-nucleotide ribosomal RNA is filed under the name uncultured bacterium. RNAcentral describes it as "partial 16S ribosomal RNA". It matches the Rfam family "Bacterial small subunit ribosomal RNA", at positions 524 to 776 of the family's 1533-position model. The record is from RNAcentral.
UACGGAGGGUGCAAGCAUUAAUCGGAUUUAUUGGGCGUAAAGGGCGCGUAGGCGGAAAUGCAAGUCAGAUGUGAAAUCCCGGGGCUCACCCCCGGAACAGCAUUUGAAACUGCAUUCCUUGAGGGUAGGCGGAGAAAAUGGAAUUCCACAAGUAGCGGUGAAAUGCGUAGAUAUGUGGAAGAACACCAGUGGCGAAGGCGGUUUUCUAGCUUAUACCUGACGCUGAGGCGCGAAAGCAAGGGGAUCAAACAGG